UUAAUUAUGAUGGUUAUAACGGCCAGCCAAAGGAAGCACCGGUGGCUUAUAUCGCAUUUGUUAUUCGGAAUAUUGAAACCUUCAACUAUUUUCUUUCUCUUGGGGACCAAGCUAACCUUGAUAUUGUGGACCUAACAGAUUCAUUGAAGCCGAUGAAUCUCCUUCCUUACAUGCAGUCAUACAAUCAAGCCGAUAUAAAACUACUGCGUAUCAUUAAGCUAACCUUGAUAUUGUGGACCUAACAGAUUCAUUGAAGCCGAUGAAUCUCCUUCCUUACAUGCAGUCAUACAAUCAAGCCGAUAUAAAACUACUGCGUAUCAUUUGUCGUCGUACAAACCAGACAAUAGUAACAUGAUCACAUGGAAGGAAGGACCUGGGACAUGGUGAGUAGAUAUAGAGAAAUAUAGGACAUGUGUAUAUAUAUUUUAGUCAAAGUCUCACCAAGGAUAGAAACUAAUGAUUUUAAAAUUUUUAAUUGGUUUUGAGAGUUUUAAACUAAUCUUUGUGUUUCUCCUUUUGUUUCUUUUGUAUCUUAUACAAUUGUAUUCACCAUGUGAUUGAGUGAAUGUUGAUAAAAUGAGGGAGAGUCCUUUCACUAUUAUUGUUGGUUUUAAGAAACAGUGGGAAAGAUGCAAUAUUUUCUAUUUUGCUGAAAGCUGCAAACCAAGCCCAAUCUUUUUGUCUUGGUGUAUAGGGAACUUUGACAACACUUUUGCUACUGAUAAAGACCUGUCUUGGAAUCUUGAAAUGCAAUGUUCCCAAGAAAAGAAACAAGAAGAUAAAGACAAAAGUGGUGUUAGAGAGUUGGAAUCUUCCAAAAGACAAUCCUGAACCUGGAGAAUCAUCAACAACCACUCAAUUAUUUCCUAGCAGAACAACUGGUCAACAACACUAGUCACUCUCUCUAAAUGUAUUUAUUUUUAUCUUUCUAUUUAAAAAUAAAAUGCAUCGAUAAGAUUUGUAUUUAAUUUUCAUUGAUUUAGAGUACGCGAUUUAGAGUAGGUAUAUUGAUUUGGGGGAAUUCUUCCAGCCAUCCAUCCCCAAAUUAAACCAGACAUUCCCUCAAAGCAUAUGAAAAACUACUUUAUCAUUACAAAAUCACUUCAACCAUUUUCAGAA
Molecule: long non-coding RNA, 1119 nt
Filed under: Lathyrus oleraceus (garden pea)
Lineage: Eukaryota; Viridiplantae; Streptophyta; Magnoliopsida; Fabales; Fabaceae
Description: Pisum sativum (pea) long non-coding RNA (PSAT_LNC008348)
Source: RNAcentral